GAAGUUCCCGAAUGCCAAGAUGAUCUACGCGGAGACACAGAAGUGAACCCUCAAGUAACAGCCAGUAGAAUCGUGCGCAUCAUGGAGCAAACAAAUACUUCAUCGUUUCCUGAACACGAGGAUUGUUAACCGACGUUAUACAGACAUGAAAUAAACACGUAACAUCUAACAGAGUGACAGUCGCAUGAAGAGAAGAUGAAGAGAAGUAAACACAAUUGAACAAUAAAGUCUUCUGUUCUCACUUCGAGGAUUUUCUUCAGCUUGCCGGAGGAUUUGAUGGACAUGGAGGCGGCGAUGAUGGCGUUUAGUUGCUGCCAGAAAGAGACAAAUUCAUUGAUUAUUACUGGUGAUUAAAUGUAAAUAAAACACCACUUUAACUUGC
Molecule: non-coding RNA, 382 nt
Organism: Gasterosteus aculeatus aculeatus (three-spined stickleback)
Lineage: Eukaryota; Metazoa; Chordata; Actinopteri; Perciformes; Gasterosteidae
Source: RefSeq, a predicted model, not a curated record